CCGAACGGAUCGCAUUAUGAUCAUAUUAUUAUGAUUGGCGAUAGAUCAUUCAAGUUUCUGACCUAUCAGCUUUCGACGGUAGUGUAUUGGACUACCGUGGCAGUGACGGGUAACGGGGAAUUAGGGUUCGAUUCCGGAGAGGGAGCCUGAGAAACGGCUACCACAUCUAAGGAAGGCAGCAGGCGCGCAAAUUACCCAAUCCUGACUCAGGGAGGUAGUGACAAGAAAUAACAACACUGGAAAUUUUAUUUCUAGUGAUUGGAAUGAUGGGAAUCCAAACCCCUUUCAGAGUAACAAUUGGAGGGCAAGUCUGGUGCCAGCAGCCGCGGUAAUUCCAGCUCCAAUAGCGUAUAUUAAAGUUGUUGCAGUUAAAAAGCUCGUAGUUGGAUAUCUGCUGGAAGCAAUCAGUCCGCCCUAUUUUAGGGUGUGCACUUGAUGAAUUCUGGCAUCUAUUAUUCUUAAUAUAAUGAUUAUUGAAUUGAUUUUCAAUAAUCAWUAUURRGAAUAAUACAGUUACUUUGAGAAAAUUAGAGUGUUUGAAGCAGGCUUAUUGCCUUGAAUACUGCAGCAUGGAAUAACAAUAUAGGAUUUCGGUUCUAUUAUUUUGUUGGUUUGUAGGACUGAAAUAAUGAUUAAUAGGGACAGUUGGGGGCAUUCGUAUUUAACUGUCAGAGGUGAAAUUCUUAGAUUUGUUAAAGACGAACUACUGCGAAAGCAUUUGCCAAGGAUGUUUUCAUUAAUCAAGAACGAAAGUUAGGGGCUCGAAGACGAUCAGAUACCGUCGUAGUCUUAACCAUAAACUAUGCCGACUAGAGAUAGGAAAAUGUCAUUAUUUCGACUUCUCCUGCAC
This 850-nucleotide ribosomal RNA is filed under the name Sarcocystis hominis. RNAcentral describes it as "SSU rRNA". It matches the Rfam family "Eukaryotic small subunit ribosomal RNA", at positions 262 to 1097 of the family's 1831-position model. The record is from RNAcentral. Lineage: Eukaryota; Apicomplexa; Conoidasida; Eucoccidiorida; Sarcocystidae.